RNAcentral lists this ribosomal RNA (484 nucleotides) under uncultured bacterium. RNAcentral describes it as "partial 16S ribosomal RNA". It matches the Rfam family "Bacterial small subunit ribosomal RNA", at positions 30 to 507 of the family's 1533-position model. The record is from RNAcentral.
AUUGAACGCUGGCGGCAGGCCUAACACAUGCAAGUCGAGCGGAUGAAGGGAGCUUGCUCCUGGAUUCAGCGGCGGACGGGUGAGUAAUGCCUAGGAAUCUGCCUGGUAGUGGGGGAUAACGUCCGGAAACGGGCGCUAAUACCGCAUACGUCCUGAGGGAGAAAGUGGGGGAUCUUCGGACCUCACGCUAUCAGAUGAGCCUAGGUCGGAUUAGCUAGUUGGUGGGGUAAAGGCCUACCAAGGCGACGAUCCGUAACUGGUCUGAGAGGAUGAUCAGUCACACUGGAACUGAGACACGGUCCAGGCUCCUACGGGAGGCAGCAGUGGGGAAUAUUGGACAGUGGGCGAAAGCCUGGUCCAGCCAUGCCGCGUGUGUGAAGAAGGUCUUCGGAUUGUAAAGCACUUUAAGUUGGGAGGAAGGGCAGUAAGUUAAUACCUUGCUGUUUUGACGGUACCAACAGAAUAAGCACCGGCUAACUUCGUG